RNAcentral lists this long non-coding RNA (228 nucleotides) under Helianthus annuus (common sunflower). RNAcentral's name for it is "hypothetical non coding rna". The record is from RNAcentral. Lineage: Eukaryota; Viridiplantae; Streptophyta; Magnoliopsida; Asterales; Asteraceae.
UCUGGGUGUGUUGGAGUUCGACGACCAGAAGGGAAAAAAGGGGGUAAACCCUAGUUGAUCAAAAAUCCAGCAAUUAAUAAGGGAUUUCAAGGUUUAGUUGAUGCAUGAAGCUCAAUUCUCGACCAUCUAACCUUUCUUAACAAACGGUAAGUCGAAUUUGAGAUUUGGUGAUUAUGAAGAAAGGAUAAAGGAGGAGAGUUCGAGUCGCACAAAGCAAGAAGGAAAUCA